Molecule: microRNA, 21 nt
Filed under: Vitis vinifera (wine grape)
Lineage: Eukaryota; Viridiplantae; Streptophyta; Magnoliopsida; Vitales; Vitaceae
Description: vvi-miR399f
Gene: vvi-miR399f
Source: miRBase by way of RNAcentral
UGCCGAAGGAGAUUUGUCCUG